This is a non-coding RNA of Zootoca vivipara (common lizard), 9275 nucleotides long. Lineage: Eukaryota; Metazoa; Chordata; Lepidosauria; Squamata; Lacertidae. The record is from RefSeq and is a predicted model, not a curated record.
GUGUAUGUGAAGUAGGGCGGGGGGGAGCCCGUCCUUUGGCGGAGCCGACUGGAAGCCGCGCUGGCGGCGGCGUGAUCCGCUCUGGACGAGAGGGUAGCCGAGGAAGGCAAUAAAGGGGUCCUGGGGUAUGUGGAAACGAGGAGGACCUGGAUGAGGCAAUUGAACCGAGCAAGUUCUCACAAAUAUUGAAUGGCACUCCUGUUUCAAACACAGCCAGCGUUGGGAUGGAUCCCUCCCAUGCUUGUAGCAUUCUCCAGCAGCUCAAAGCAAUGUAUGAUGAAAGACAGCUGACAGAUAUUGUGGUGGAAGUAGAUCAUGGGAAAACUUUUUCUUGUCAUCGGAAUGUUCUUGCUGCAAUCAGUCCUUACUUCAGAUCAAUGUUCACUAGUGGCCUUACUGAGAGUACCCAGAAAGAAGUUCGGAUUGUUGGUGUUGAAGCAGAGUCCAUGCAUUUAGUACUGAACUAUGCAUAUACCUCCAGAGUAACACUGACAGAGGCCAAUGUCCAAGCUUUGUUCACUGCAGCUAGUAUCUUCCAGAUCCCUUCUAUCCAGGACCAGUGUGCUAAAUACAUGAUCAGUCAUUUGGAUCCUCAGAACUCCAUUGGAGUGUUUAUCUUUGCUGAUCAUUAUGGGCAUCAGGAACUGAAAGUCAGCUCACAAGAUUACAUUCGUAAAAAGUUCCUGAGUGUCACCAAAGAACAAGAGUUUCUCCAACUGAGGAAAGACCAACUCAUAAGCAUACUGGACAGCAAUGAUUUAAACGUUGACAAGGAAGAGCAUGUCUAUGAAAGCAUUAUAAGAUGGUUUGAACAUGAACCCAACAAAAGAGAAGUCCACUUGCCGGAAAUUUUUGCCAAAUGCAUCCGCAUGCCCCUGUUGGAUGAAGCAUUCGUAGAGAAAAUUCCUCCCAUGUUUGCACAGGCUAUAGCCCAAAACUGUGUACAGAAAGGAGAAAGUAGUGCCAAUGGCUAUACCCAACGGCUUGGAAUGACUGCUUCAGAAAUGAUCAUCUGCUUUGAUGCUGCCCACAAACACUCAGGAAAGAAGCAAACAGUGCCUUGUUUAGAUUCCGUCACAGGGAGAGUGUUCAAACUAUGCAAACCACCCAAUGAUUUGCGGGAAGUGGGGAUUCUUGUGUCUCCCGACAAUGACAUUUACAUUGCUGGAGGGUACAGACCAAGCAGCAGUGAGGUCUCCAUAGACCACAGAGCAGAAAGUGACUUCUGGAUGUAUGAUCAUUCAGGCAAUAGAUGGAUCCCUAAGACUCCACUGCUUCGUGCCAGAAUAGGCUGCAAACUGGUUCAUUGCUGUGGUAAAUUGUAUGCAAUAGGUGGCCGGGUGUAUGAAGGAGAUGGGCGCAACUCCCUGAAAUCUGUGGAGUGUUACGAUGGCCGAGAGAACUGCUGGACAGCUGUCUGUCCAAUGCCUGUAGCAAUGGAGUUUCAUAAUGCUGUGGAAUAUAAAGACAAUAUCUAUGUUUUACAGGGUAAGAUGCUUUGUGUCCCUAUGGUAUAUGUGUGGGAGCAUCUACAAGUGGAACGUUUCACAGAAAAAUUCUCAUUCAGGCCUUUACUUCUGAAUAACUUUAUUGAGGGUUAUAGCUUGUAUAAAGGAAGGUUUCUGCUUAUGUCCACCUAAACUGUAGUCAAAGGGAAGUUAAUUACUUUGUGACCUAUGUAUUGCCUGCUUUUUUAUCUUGGUAAUACUAGUUUGUAUCCAUUGCUUAGCAUUUGUUUGACACAUACCGUCAGUAGUUAUUACUUGAUGGAGGAGAAAAAUGGCACUGUGUGUAGUUGAUGUUACAACAUAUUCCACUACUUAAAAGUUAUGGUAGAAUGUGCUGGGACUGCUGUCCACACCACAAAGUGAAUGAUUUCAGGAAACACGAGCAGCAGCAUUUGCUCGGUGGCCGAGUACAUGGCUUGCAUGUGGAGGGUCCUAGAUUUAGUCCCUGACAAUACUAGUGAAAAGGACUUUGGGUAGCAAUGCUGGGAAAGACCUGUCACUGUGUGAGGACCUGGGAAGUUACUGUCAUUCAGAAAAGACUAGUCUGGUUAGGUAUAAGCAGUGAUGUGGGGUGGAACAUUAUCCAAAAUGGACAAUUUGUCAGAAUUAUCUAGUGCUUAUCUUUUCCUUGGAAAAUAUUCCAUUUCAUAAGUUCAUUAGUAACAGUGAUCGGAUGCCAGUUGCAAAUACAAUACAGUCGUACCUCAGCUCCCGAAUUAUCGAAAACCGGAAGUGAGUGUUCCGGUUUUUUAAUGUUCUUUCAGAAGCCAAACAUCCAAUGGGGCUUCCAAUUGGCUGCAGAAGUCAAUUGGAAGCCGCACUUUGAAAGUUGAAUAGUCUUCAGGAACAGAUUCUGUUCGACUUCCGAGGUACAAGUGUAUUAUACAAGUGUGGGAGUACAAAGUUGUUGAUUUUCUUUGUUAAAUGCAAGUAAAACACACUAAAUUAGGUCACUCUCUAGGGCCUGAGAAAAUUAUCAGUGCAUAUUAUCUUACGCAAUUUUGCCUAAUUUGCAUUGAGAUUUUUUUUCCAGAAACCUUGCAUCACUGGAUAUAAGGAAAUUCUGGAUCUUCUAUGCAGCACUUGCCUCUGCAUAUGAUUCUGUGAUUUCUGCUCCCACUCCCCCCAAGUAUUCUUUUUUCUAUUCAUAAAUAAGGGGAGCCAGAAAUAAUUAGUUAUGGAUGGGAAGGAAUAAACUAGUCAUCCUCUUUGCUUGCCUAUUUUCCAUCCAUCCAUCCGAUCCUUCUUAUGCAUAUAUACCCCAGUGUUGCCCCUACCAACAGAGCAGCCAUCCUCAUGUCACCAAACCCUUGGCUUAAGUGGAAUUGCUGUUUCAAAUCACGCUGGAGGCUGCUUCUAUAGAAAUGGCUUUUAGAGGAGCCUUGUGAUUGAUAUUGAAGCAAACCUAGUUAAUCCAGGAAAUCCCUGGAUUUGGUAGGAGUGUCCUGGAGAUACAUGGAGAUCUAUAACAUAACAAGAUAAGAGUGUGUGUGGAAAUGGGAAGGUGAAAAUGGCUUAAAUUAAUAGUAGGAUAAGAUGCAUCUGACAUUUUUAUGGGAUUUGAUGCUCCUUUCUAAAGCAUCAGCAGUUUCUCCCUUUUUUCCCUAGCUUUAUUGUGCUGCUUCAAAGAGAGACAAUAGCAAGACAGGCAAAAAAAGGUCAGGUAGAUGUAUUGGAAGACAGGAGUGCCUGGCGUGCUCUGGUCCAUGGGGUCACAAAGAGUCGGACACGACUAAACGACUAAACAACAAGAAGAUGUAGCUUCUUUUCUGUCUUGGAGGAUUCGUAGCACAUAACAUUUGAAGUCCCUAUUGCUGAUAAAAUCUGGUUCAGUCCCACCUCUUCCGUACUCUUAACAUUAUGCAAAGUGUCUGUAGUGAGGUGGUUCCUGUAGUGAGGUGGAAAGGGUUAAAAAAGAAGCAGAAUUCCUGGGAAAUUUUGUUUUCCUAUUACAAUGGGCCUGCUGCCUGGGACAAGGCAAAAGACAUUUAGACGAAUACUUCUCAUUCUUCCCUGCCCUGUAUAAUAAUAAUAAUAAUAAUAAUAAUAAUAAUAAUAAUAAUAAUAAUAAUAAAAAUUAUACCCCACCCAUCCGGCUGGGUUUCCCCAGCCACUCUGGGCAGCUCCCAACAGAUUAAAAACAGAAUAAAAAAUCAAAUAUUAAAAAUUUCCCCAAACAGGGCUGCCUUCAUACUUGGUCAGGGGUGGGGCACUAUGGCCCUCUGGAUGUUGGAUUAGCACUCCCAUCAUAUCUGUCCAUGGGCCAUGAUGUAAGUUAGGAGUGCAAACAACCUCCAGAAGGCUGAAGAUUUCCCAUCUUUCAUUUUUUAAACUGGUUUUUAAUUUCAAAUAAUAAAACAUACCCGUACAAGGAAAACUUAGAGCUUAGCGGUUGUACAGAAAAGAAAGAAAAAUAGCAGCUGAUGGUUGUUGUAGUUUUAGACAUUCCAAGAAAGGCAAUAAUAUGAAAGUGUCUCUAUACAGUGGUACCUCUACUUACAAAUAACUCUACUUACAACUUUUUCUACUUACGAAUGGAGCUCCGUCCGCCAUCUUGGAUGCGGUUUAGAUAGAUUUAUUCCACUUACGAAUUUUUAGAUAGGGUUGCUUCGACUUACGAAUUUUUUCUCCCAAUGCAUUCCUAUGGGAUUCGACUUACAAUUUUUUUCGACUUACAAAUGUGUGUUCGGAACACAUUAAAUUCGUAAGUAGAGGUACCACUGUAUAAGGUUCUAUGAAUAGACGGAGGGUGAAAACCAAGUUCAAUUGUCUUAAGAAAGUUAAUAAAAGGCUACCAUGUUCUGUGGAAGGUGUGAGUCCGAGAUCAAUAUUCCUUUUGUGAAAUGGUUAAUUUAUCCAUAAGCAUGAUGCCCCAUACUUGCAAAAUCGAGGCUUCAAAAAGAUUUACAUUUAAAUAAUGCAAAUAGCUGCAGUUAAUAAAUAGAGGAUGAGGUCUUUAUUGGUUAUGUUCUUAAUCCAGGGGGUAAAAUAGAAUCAUAGAGUUGGAAGAGACCACAAGGGCCAUCCAGUCCAACCCCCUGCCAAGCAGGAAACACCAUCAAAGCAUUCCUUACAUAUGUCUGUCAAGCCUCCGCUUAAAGAUCUCCAAAGAAGGAGACUCCACCACACUCCUUGGUAGCAAAUUCCACUGCCGAACAGCUCUUACUGUCAGGAAGUUCUUCCUAAUGUUUAGGUGGAAUCUUCUUUCUUGUAGUUUGAAUCCAUUGCUCCGUGAAAGAAAAGAAAGUAGGGCUAAUUUUGAGUCCGGUUGCAGUGUUUGUCCCAACAUCUGAUUAAUGUUUGUAGAACUUUUCCCCAAAAGGGAAUAAUUUUGGGGCAAAGCCACCACAUGUACUAGAGAGCAAGGCAAAUUGCAUUCUUGCCAGCAAAUGUUGGAUGUUUUAAGUUUCUGUUGUUGUUUAGUCGUGUCCGACUCUUCGUGACCCCAUGGACCAUAGCACGCCAGGCACUCCUGUCUUGCACUGCCUCCCAUAGUUUGGUCAAACUCACAUUAGUAGCUUCAAGAACACUGUCCAACCAUCUCGUCCUCUGUCGUCCCCUUCUCCUUGUGCCCUCAAUCUUUCCCAAAACAUCAGAGAGUUGGCCAAAAUAUUGGAGUUAAGAUUAAGUCUAUAUAAUCUGUCUGGGCACAUGUACUAGCGAUGUGCUUUUCUCGAGUUCUAAUUGAGAUGGAUCCAAGUGGUAGCUUAUCCCAAAAUUGUUCCCAGAGUUGAAACAAAAAAUUAAAAAAAAUCCUUCCAGUAGGACUUUAGUUUGUCAUUCGUAUGAGAUUGCGUGUGCAUGCACACGAGUUGUUACUUUAAGUCUCAAAAAUCUCUUCCGCAUUUUAGUCUUCAUGAAGUGAGAAGAAGGAUAGUCAAUUGUGUGAGGUUUUUAUAUAGUUGGAAGUUGAUUCCCUUUCCCAGAGGGUUGGUUGAGUUGAGUAGUUGCUCAAAACUAUUUAAGCUGUGUAAUGCUGAUUUAGAAAAUUUAUAAUGUGUAUCUCCAACCAGCCACCUGGUAUAUCUCCCAAUUUAAAAUUUAUUUCUGGAGCUGUAAAGGGCUUUUGAUAAAUGUAGAAGAUUCUGAAUUUAUCUAAUCCCACUGUUUCCCAUUUUCCAAAUGAGCCUGAUUUGGCUGCUGUGCACAAGGAAGAAUGUUGAGUUCUUAGGACUAAAGGAAAUCAAAAGGUAAAUGUUUCGGUCUCCCUUCCAUGUGGUCAAAUCCGAUUUUAGAAAUGGGUUAAUAAUGUCUUCUGAUGUCUUGUUCAUUUUCUGAUAAGGGAGUGAAUGCAUAAAGUCUUGACAUGUAUCAUCCUCCUUUUUUAACCAUGGGACCUGGUCUGAGCCUUGUAUAAUCAAAAGAAUAUUGUGUAAGUAAGGGAGCAGAGUCCUUCUAUUUUUUUUAGGUUAGGUAUUGCUUUUCCUCCUUUCUUGACUCUAUAAAGGGUUUUAUGAGGUAGUUGAGGUUUCUGGUUUGCAUGAAUAAAAUUUAGUAUAUUUUGGCCAAUUAAUUAACAUGAGAAAUGAAUUGCUAAGCUCUGAAUAAGGAAAGAUUGUGCAGUAAGAGCAUCAUUUUUGCUAAAGAAACUACCCGGCCACGAGAAUGUAAACUUAGUCGAUUUUUUGAGCAUUGUUAAUUCUUUUCUCAAGGCAGUAAAGUUCAUUUUUUCUAGUUUUGAUAGAUUCUUAGAUAUAUUCACUUCCAGGUAUUUAAAGUAGAUAUUACAGAGAUUCAGGCCAGUUGUUUGUGCUAGUGCAUUUGUAGGCUUGGCGGGGUGUACAUAUACAUAAACUCAGAUUUGGUGAAGUUAACAGUGAAUCCAGAUAUCUUGCCAUAUAUAGCAAGUUGGUGCAUAACAGAAGGUAAAGAGGCUUCAUAAUCAGAAAGAAAUAAUACUUUGGCAUUCCCCCCCCCUAUCUUGAGGAAAUUUCACUUCAAACUUCCCCUCCCCACUGCAAAAGAGGGAGUCAAAAAAGUUCAUACCAGAGGACUAGCAUUGCUAGGACCCUCAAACUGUUUUUAAACUUAAACCAUUUUAAAACUUGAUGAGAACUAUUUUCAAGAAAGAAACUGUUUAGAGGAGGGUGUUGCAUUUAAAUGUCCUUUCUGUUCAAAAUACUAAAUGUUUUAUUGCUGCAGCUCUUCCUGAGAACAUGUCAAGUAAUGGUUUAGACUCUAGAGGGCCUCUGAGCCUAAGAAAAGUGCCUUUCCUGCUGAAUAUUUACACUCAUGCAAAAAAAGGUGCAGAAAAGAAAACCUCUAAUCACACUCUUGAAAACCUACAGGUGAAAUAAUAAUACUAUUCAGUCUCUUCUCUCUGCCUGUGCUCUACUGCCUGUGCCAUGCAACCUAUCCCCAUUAGUAGCUGGGCUUUGCCAAUGGGAGAACCUCAGGUUAGCAGGAGUCAAGAAAUUUAAUGAGAUAAAGGGCUCACUUCAAUAGGGAAACAUUCAAAGGACAUCUACCAAUGGUAGGGAACACUUGGAAAUGUGGUUUGCAAAACAAAUUGGAAAGUUUCUGACAAAGUACAGCUAGAUCAGGCAUAGGCAAACUCCAGCCCCCCACUGGUCCUGUUAGGGAUGAUGGGAAUUGUAGUCCCAAACAUCUGGAGGGCCGGAGUUAAUGCCUGAGCUAGAUAAUCUACAUGUGUACUGAAAGCUAAUUUGUCUACUUUUGAUAUAAAGAGGUUAGACCUUGCUGGAGAGGUGCUCCAAAAUAGAGACUCUGGGUCAGCACCUGUUAACCUGGAAUAUUUUGAACUUUCCCAGGCAAGUGGGAAAGUAGCUAUUAUCAGUCUCCAUUAAAUCUGUAGUAAAACAGCACAAAGAGACUUAUUUCAACACUGAUGUUCAAAAGUAGAUGUAGAACAGAAUAAAAAGUAAAAAGGUUGAUGUGAGUGCAAAGGUUUGUGUAAAUGUCUUUAGAAACCAUGGUUUAUCUUGUCAAUGUAUUGUUGUUGUUUAGUCGUUUAGUCGUGUCCGACUCUUCGUGACCCCAUGGACCAUAGCACGCCAGGCACUCCUGUCUUGCACUGCCUCCCGCAAUUUGGUCAAACUCAUGUUCGUAGCUUCGAGAACACUGUCCAACCAUCUUGUCCUCUGUCGUCCCCUUCUCCUAGUGCCCUCAAUCUUUCCCAACAUCAGGGUCUUUUCCAAGGAUUCUUCUCUUCUCAUGAGGUGGCCAAAGUAUUGGAGCCUGAGCUUCACGAUCUGUCCUUCCAGGGAGCACUCAGGGCUGAUUUCCUUAAGAAUGGAUAGGUUUGAUCUUCUUGCAGUCCAUGGGACUCUCAAGAGUCUCCUCCAGCACCAUAAUUCAAAAGCAUCAAUUCUUCGGCGAUCAGCCUUCUUUAUGGUCCAGCUCUCACUUCCAUACAUCACUACUGGGAAAACCAUAGCUUUAACUAUACGGACCUUUGUCGGCAAGGUGAUGUCUCUGCUUUUUAAGAUGCUGUCUAGGUUUGUCAUUGCUUUUCUCCCAAGAAGCAGGCGUCUUUUAAUUUCGUGACUGCUGUCACCAUCUGCAGUGAUCAAGGAGCCCAAGAAAGUAAAAUCUCUCACUGCCUCCAUUUCUUCCCCUUCUAUUUGCCAGGAGGUGAUGGGACCAGUGGCCAUGAUCUUGGUUUUUUGUCAAUGUAUUAGCUUUACCCAAACUCUUAUUGCACUGGUAUUAUUGAUUGAAAUUGUUUUAAACUGUUUUUAAUACUGUACUCGUUGCAAUCUGUCCUGGGACUUUAAGGUAAAAGGCAUGAUUAUGAGGAUCAUAGAAUCAUAGAACUGUAGAGUUGGAAGGGACCACGAGGGUCAUCUAGUCCAACCCCCUGCCAUGCAGGAAUCUUUUGCCCAAGACCCAUGACCCAUGGCUUUUGCUCAAACCCAUGACCCUGAGAUUAAGAGUCUUAUGCUCUACCGACUAAGCUAUCCCAAAUGAUGAGGAUGAUGAUGAUAUUCCUGUGAGUUUCAGCAAAAUGUAUGCUGUUCCAGGAGUCACAUGUCUGAAAAUGAAUUACCAUAAUGUGGGAAAUCUUAACUGUUUUCUACCUAAUUAGGUUCUACAUGGUGAAGUGCACACCACUCAGAUAGGUAUGCUAUGGACAGCUCUCUAUAGUGGACAAAGCUGAUAACUGGUUUUAAUGAACAGCAGUGUUCAUAGAAUUCAGUGGUAUUUAGGUAGCCCAUGUACGGUUGUCACCUAAGUUAAUGCAACUCACCUCUUAAAUUGGGAUAAAUGAGUUUUCACCAGCAUGUUUAAUAUAUAAGGAAAGCACAACAAUUACUAUUUUAGUGAUUUAAAUUCAGUUUCGUCCAACUUCCUAGAUGAGGCUUCCUCAACCUCGGCCCUCCAGAUGUUUUUGGCCUACAAUUCCCAUGAUCCCUAGCUAGCAGGACCAGUAAUCAGGGAUGAUGGGAAUUGUAGUCUCAAAACAUCUAGAGGGCCGAGGUUGAGGAAGCCUGUUCUAGAUAGUCAGAAAAGCCUAUCUAAGAAAUUGGAUGUGGUUUUUUUUAUCACUGUAUGAAGCAAUACUGUAGAACCUGUUGUUGUUGUUGUUGUUGUUGUUAUUAUUCUUUUGUCAUUUAGUCAUGUCCGACUCUUCGUGACCCCAUGGACCAGAGCACACCAGGCACUCCUGUCUUCCACUGCCUCCCGCAGUUUGGUCAAACUCAUGAGAAUUUUUUCUCUGCUAUGAUCCCCGAAAAGAUUACUGGGGUUUCUUAACUCCUAUGACUGUGCCUAGGAUCCAGGGUUUGGCAGCUGUCUACAACAACU